This is a non-coding RNA of Arachis ipaensis, 156 nucleotides long. The record is from RefSeq and is a predicted model, not a curated record. Lineage: Eukaryota; Viridiplantae; Streptophyta; Magnoliopsida; Fabales; Fabaceae.
AAAUGUGAAAUCGUUUAACUAGAAAAGCAGAAAUCGGACUGUCCGAUUUAUUAGAAGUACAGAAAUCGGACCGUCCGAUUUUAAAAAAAAUAAAAAAUUUGAGGUACACAAAUCGAACCCUCCGAUUUGUAUACUUUCCACAAUUUUAAAAAACAC